GACGAACGCUGGCGGCGUGCCUAAUACAUGCAAGUUGAGCGAUGAAGAUUGGUGCUUGCACCAAUUUGAAGAGCAGCGAACGGGUGAGUAACGCGUGGGGAAUCUGCCUUUGAGCGGGGGACAACAUUUGGAAACGAAUGCUAAUACCGCAUAACAACUUUAAACAUAAGUUUUAAGUUUGAAAGAUGCAAUUGCAUCACUCAAAGAUGAUCCCGCGUUGUAUUAGCUAGUUGGUGAGGUAAAGGCUCACCAAGGCGAUGAUACAUAGCCGACCUGAGAGGGUGAUCGGCCACAUUGGGACUGGGACACGGCCCAAACUCCUACGGGAGGCAGCAGUAGGGAAUCUUCGGCAAUGGACGAAAGUCUGACCGAGCAACGCCGCGUGAGGGAAGAAGGGUUUCGGAUCGUAAAACUCUGUUGGUAGAGAAGAACGUUGGUGAGAGUGGAAAGCUCAUCAAGUGACGGUAACUACCCAGAAAGGGACGGCUAACUACGUG
RNAcentral lists this ribosomal RNA (497 nucleotides) under uncultured bacterium. Its description in RNAcentral is "partial 16S ribosomal RNA". It matches the Rfam family "Bacterial small subunit ribosomal RNA", at positions 28 to 507 of the family's 1533-position model. The record is from RNAcentral.